UGAGUUACCGCUCUAUAACCCUUUGUGAACAUACCUACAACUGUUGCUUCGGCGGGUAGGCCGUCCCCUGAAAAGGACGCCUCCCGGCCCGGACCGGACCCCCCGCGGGACCGGACCCGGCGCCCGCCGGAGGAUAACCAAACUCUAUUGUAACGACGUUUCUUCUGAGUGGCAUAAGCAAAAUAAUCAAAACUUUUAACAACGGAUCUCUUGGUUCUGGCAUCGAUGAAGAACGCAGCGAAAUGCGAUAAGUAAUGUGAAUUGCAGAAUUCAGUGAAUCAUCGAAUCUUUGAACGCACAUUGCGCCCGCCAGCAUUCUGGCGGGCAUGCCUGUUCGAGCGUCAUUUCAACCCUCAAGCUCUGCUUGGUGUUGGGGCUCUACGGUCGACGUAGGCCCUCAAAGGUAGUGGCGGACCCUCCCGGAGCCUCCUUUGCGUAGUAACAUUUCGUCUCGCACUGGGAUCCGGGAGGGACUCUUGCCGUAAAACCCCCCAAUUUUCCAAAGGUUGACCUCGGAUCAGGUAGGAAUACCCGCUGAACUUAAGCAUAUCAAUAAGCGAA
Molecule: ribosomal RNA, 561 nt
Filed under: Colletotrichum gloeosporioides
Lineage: Eukaryota; Fungi; Ascomycota; Sordariomycetes; Glomerellales; Glomerellaceae
Description: eukaryotic LSU rRNA
Rfam family: 5.8S ribosomal RNA (bases 191-344)
Source: RNAcentral